CUGGGUGAAGUGCUGUGGUCAGAUGAGACCAAAAUCGGGCUCUUUGGCAUCAACUCACCGUGUUUGGAGGAGGAGGAAUGCUGCCUAUGACCCCAAGAACACCAUCCCCAUCGUCAAACAUGGAGGUGGAGACAUUAUGCUUUGCGGGUGUUUUUCUGCUAAGUGACAGGACAACUGCACCACAUUAAUGGAAAGAUGGAAGGGACCAUAUGCCAUCAAAUCUUGGGUGAGAACCUCCUUCACUCAGCCAGGACAUUGAAAAUGAGUAUUCCAGCAUGACAAUGACCCAAAACACACAGCCAAGGCAACAAAGGAGUGGCUCAAGAAGAAAAACAUUAAGGUCCUGGAGUGACCUAGCCAGUCUCCAGACCUUAAUCCCAUAGAAAAUCUGUGGAGGGAGCUGAAGGUUCAAGUUGCCAAACGUCAGCCUCGAAACCUUAAUGACUUGAAAAGGAUCUGCAAAGAGGAGUGGGACAAAAUCCCUUCUGAGAUGUGUGCAAACCUGGUGACCAACUACAAGAAACGUCUGACCUCUGAUAGCCAACAAGGGUUUUGCCACCAAGUCGAAGGGGUUUAAAUACUUAAUUCACUAAUUGACCAUGCAAAUCAAUUUAUAAUUUUUUGAAUUGUGUUUUUCU
This is a non-coding RNA of Pelobates cultripes (western spadefoot toad), 638 nucleotides long. Lineage: Eukaryota; Metazoa; Chordata; Amphibia; Anura; Pelobatidae. The record is from the annotation of a GenBank genome assembly.